CCUACGGGAGGCAGCAGUGGGGAAUAUUGCACAAUGGGGGAAACCCUGAUGCAGCGACGCCGCGUGAGUGAAGAAGUAAUUCGUUAUGUAAAGCUCUAUCAGCAGGGAAGAAAAUGACGGUACCUGAGUAAGAAGCCCCGGCUAACUACGUGCCAGCAGCCGCGGUAAUACGUAGGGGGCAAGCGUUAUCCGGAUUUACUGGGUGUAAAGGGAGCGUAGACGGCAGUGCAAGUCUGGAGUGAAAGGCGGGGGCUCAACCCCCGGACUGCUCUGGAAACUGUACGGCUGGAGUGCAGGAGAGGAAAGUGGAAUUCCGAGUGUAGCGGUGAAAGGCGUAGAUAUAAGGAGGAACACAAGUGGGGAAGGCGGCUUACUGGACCGCGACUGACGUGGAGGCUCGAAAGCGUGGGGAGCGAACAGGAUUAGAUACCCGAGGAGUC
Molecule: ribosomal RNA, 440 nt
Filed under: uncultured bacterium
Lineage: Bacteria
Description: partial 16S ribosomal RNA
Rfam family: Bacterial small subunit ribosomal RNA
Source: RNAcentral